ACCGUAACUUUUCCUUCGAGGACGAUUGCUUCUUUGUCCAGUUCUUCCUCUGUUGAUGUUCUUAUUCAAUAAGAUCUAUCUCGCUAUCUUCCUACAGCGCUUCAAGCUGCUUUUUCGGCUGUAGGGAUCUCAGGUAAGUCUUCCUGUUGGCAUGUAGACUAUGCUGCUUUUAAUCAUAUGACGAGUCAGUUAUCUUUGUUUCGUAAUUAUACUUUGAUUCAAAAUGUCAUUGUUGAAGUUUCCAAUGAGAAAUGUUUGCCCGUAUGUGGGAUUAGUCACGUUCAAACUGCUACUUUGGAGCUCCAUCACACUCUUCAUGUCCCUUCACUUGUUACGAACGUGGUUUCAGUUGGUGAGUUGACAGAUAAUGGUUGUGUAGUAACUUUCUCUCCCUCGGGUUGUGCUAUAUAGUACCCGAGGAAGCAUAUAAGGAGAGGAAGUAAGGCUGGAAGGAAUUUCUAUCUUGAUGAUUUCGGCGAGGAGGGGACUCAACGAGAUUCAUGUUUUUAACUUCAUCUAGUAGUAUUUCGGAUAAUAGUUUGGUUCAUUUGGAUAUUGAUAGUAGUUUGGAUACUUCAGCUUUUUUGGGGCACACAUACUUAGCUAAGAAUGUUAUUCGUACUUAGAAUUUAUGGCACUACUCGCACUGCUCGGUGUUCUUUUAAUGGGUAUAAUAAUCAUAAUAAAGGGUACUUAUGUUA
This 701-nucleotide long non-coding RNA is filed under the name Linum usitatissimum (flax). RNAcentral describes it as "long non-coding RNA (LUSI_LNC004474)". Lineage: Eukaryota; Viridiplantae; Streptophyta; Magnoliopsida; Malpighiales; Linaceae. The record is from RNAcentral.